GUCUGGCUCAGAGAUGGAGUCACCAGGCCAUGGUGUGCGGGCACUCAGUAAAGUGGAGAUACGAUUACUAGAUCAUUAUGAUGCUGGUUUCUUCAUCAAGUGGCGGAAUAACGCAUCAGGGCAGGUGACCCACGUCACCGGGGUGAUGCACUGGUGCUCGCCGGGGCGGGCCCUGUGCCUGCGGGAGCCGCGCGGCCGGCGGGGUGUCGGGGCGCCUUGUGGGGGCCGAGCCGCGCCCGCACGUCCCUCAGAUUUCUUCCUUCUGGUGGAUCUCUUUUUUUGUCAAGAAGAUGUUGAUAACUGUCCUCUUUGGCAUUUGUUCAAAGUCUGGUUCUAACAGCGUUUGGACUGUGGUUUAAUUUUAACCAUAAAGCAUUCUUUUGGAAUAAUUACUUUUGAAUCUAGGAAGAGCCAGCUGGAUACAGGGCCAUAAACACCCCCCUGCGGGGAAUGUGCAGGCUUUAAGUUAGGUGUUUUUUUUUUUUUUUUUUUUUUUUUUUUUUUUUUUACCGCUAGCAUUUCUGGCUCUCUUUUUUCUUUCUUUUUUUAGAGACAGGGUCUGGCUCUGUUGCCCAGGCUGGAGUUCAGUGUUACAAUCACAGCUUACUGUAGCCUCAUCCUUCUGGGCUCCAGCAAUCCUCCCAUCUCAGCCUCCCGAGUAGCUUGGACCACAGGCAGGCAUCACUGGCUCAUUUUUUUAUUUUUAUUUUUUGUAGAGACAGGGUCUUGCUGUGUUGCCCAGGUUGGUCUCAAAUUCCUGGUCUCAAGUGAUCC
RNAcentral lists this long non-coding RNA (774 nucleotides) under Rhinopithecus roxellana (golden snub-nosed monkey). Its description in RNAcentral is "lncRNA (ENSRROG00000045981.1)". Lineage: Eukaryota; Metazoa; Chordata; Mammalia; Primates; Cercopithecidae. The record is from RNAcentral.